GUAGGUGGCAAGCGUUGUCCGGAAUUAUUGGGCGUAAAGCGCGCGCAGGCGGUUCUUUAAGUCUGAUGUGAAAGCCCACGGCUCAACCGUGGAGGGUCAUUGGAAACUGGAGAACUUGAGUACAGAAGAGGAAAGCGGAAUUCCACGUGUGGCGGUGAAAUGCGUAGAGAUGUGGAGGAACACCAGUGGCGAAGGCGGCUUUCUGGUCUGUAACUGUCGCUGAGGCGCGAAAGCGUGGGGAGCAAACAGGAUUAGAUACCCUGGUAGUCCACGCCGUAAACGAUGAGUGCUAAGUGUUAGGGGGUUUCCGCCCCCCUUAGUGCUGCAGCUAACGCAUUAAGCACUCCGCCUGGGAGUACGGCCGCAAGGCUG
RNAcentral lists this ribosomal RNA (372 nucleotides) under uncultured organism. RNAcentral describes it as "partial 16S ribosomal RNA". It matches the Rfam family "Bacterial small subunit ribosomal RNA", at positions 527 to 896 of the family's 1533-position model. The record is from RNAcentral.